Molecule: ribosomal RNA, 497 nt
Filed under: uncultured bacterium
Lineage: Bacteria
Description: partial 16S ribosomal RNA
Rfam family: Bacterial small subunit ribosomal RNA
Source: RNAcentral
GAUGAACGCUGGCGGCGUGCCUAAUACAUGCAAGUCGAGCGAACAGAUAAGGAGCUUGCUCCUUUGAAGUUAGCGGCGGACGAGUGAGUAACACGUGGGUAACCUACCUAUAAGACUGGGAUAACUUCGGGAAACCGGAGCUAAUACCGGAUAACAUUUAGAACCGCAUGGCUCUAAAGUGAAAGAUGGUUUUGCUAUCACUUAUAGAUGGACCCGCGCCGUAUUAGCUAGUUGGUAAGGUAACGGCUUACCAAGGCGACGAUACGUAGCCGACCUGAGAGGGUGAUCGGCCACACUGGAACUGAGACACGGUCCAGACUCCUACGGGAGGCAGCAGUAGGGAAUCUUCCGCAAUGGGCGAAAGCCUGACGGAGCAACGCCGCGUGAGUGAUGAAGGGUUUCGGCUCGUAAAACUCUGUUAUUAGGGAAGAACAAAUGUGUAAGUAACUGUGCACAUCUUGACGGUACCUAAUCAGAAAGCCACGGCUAACUACGUG